This 207-nucleotide unclassified non-coding RNA is filed under the name soil metagenome. Its description in RNAcentral is "partial contains 5.8S ribosomal RNA, internal transcribed spacer 2, and large subunit ribosomal RNA". The record is from RNAcentral.
AACAUCGCGCACCUGCGGGAACCUGCGGAGGGAUCAUUACAGAGGAGCCCGCGCGUCCGCGCACGGGCUCCACGAGAUAGAACCCCUGUCUUUGUUUACCACCGUUUCCUCGGCGGGUCCGCCCGCCAGCGAGGACAACCCAAAACCUUUUGUAGUUAGCAGUAACCGUCUGAAAACAAAUCGUUUAAAACUUUUAACAAUGGAUCU